UACGAAGGGGGCUAGCGUUGCUCGGAAUCACUGGGCGUAAAGCGCACGUAGGCGGAUUUCUAAGUCAGGGGUGAAAUCCCGGGGCUCAACCUCGGAACUGCCUUUGAUACUGCAAAUCUCGAGUCCGGAAGAGGUGAGUGGAAUUCCUAGUGUAGAGGUGAAAUUCGUAGAUAUUAGGAAGAACACCAGUGGCGAAGGCGGCUCACUGGUCCGGUACUGACGCUGAGGUGCGAAAGCGUGGGGAGCAAACAGG
Molecule: ribosomal RNA, 253 nt
Filed under: uncultured bacterium
Lineage: Bacteria
Description: partial 16S ribosomal RNA
Rfam family: Bacterial small subunit ribosomal RNA
Source: RNAcentral